RNAcentral lists this ribosomal RNA (497 nucleotides) under uncultured bacterium. RNAcentral describes it as "partial 16S ribosomal RNA". It matches the Rfam family "Bacterial small subunit ribosomal RNA", at positions 28 to 507 of the family's 1533-position model. The record is from RNAcentral.
GAUGAACGCUGGCGGCGUGCCUAAUACAUGCAAGUCGAGCGAACAGACGAGGAGCUUGCUCCUCUGAUGUUAGCGGCGGACGGGUGAGUAACACGUGGAUAACCUACCUAUAAGACUGGGAUAACUUCGGGAAACCGGAGCUAAUACCGGAUAACAUGUUGAACCGCAUGGUUCAACAGUGAAAAACGGUCUUGCUGUCACUUAUAGAUGGAUCCGCGCCGCAUUAGCUAGUUGGUAAGGUAACGGCUUACCAAGGCAACGAUGCGUAGCCGACCUGAGAGGGUGAUCGGCCACACUGGAACUGAGACACGGUCCAGACUCCUACGGGAGGCAGCAGUAGGGAAUCUUCCGCAAUGGGCGAAAGCCUGACGGAGCAACGCCGCGUGAGUGAAGAAGGUCUUCGGAUCGUAAAACUCUGUUAUUAGGGAAGAACAAAUGUGUAAGUAACUAUGCACGUCUUGACGGUACCUAAUCAGAAAGCCACGGCUAACUACGUG